RNAcentral lists this ribosomal RNA (440 nucleotides) under uncultured bacterium. RNAcentral's name for it is "partial 16S ribosomal RNA". It matches the Rfam family "Bacterial small subunit ribosomal RNA", at positions 338 to 795 of the family's 1533-position model. The record is from RNAcentral.
CCUACGGGGUGCAGCAGUGGGGAAUAUUGCACAAUGGGGGAAACCCUGAUGCAGCGACGCCGCGUGAGUGAAGAAGUAUUUCGGUAUGUAAAGCUCUAUCAGCAGGGAAGAAAAUGACGGUACCUGAUUAAGAAGCCCCGGCUAACUACGUGCCAGCAGCCGCGGUAAUACGUAGGGGGCAAGCGUUAUCCGGAUUUACUGGGUGUAAAGGGGGCGUAGACGGCAGCACAAGUCUGGAGUGAAAUGCCGGGGCUUAACCCCGGAACUGCUUUGGAAACUGUGCAGCUAGAGUGCAGGAGAGGUAAGUGGAAUUCCUAGUGUAGCGGUGAAAUGCGUAGAUAUUAGGAGGAACACCAGUGGCGAAGGCGGCUUACUGGACUGUAACUGACGUUGAGGCUCGAAAGCGUGGGGAGCAAACAGGAUUAGAUACCCUUGUAGUC